GUUGUUCAUGACCACCAUCGGCAUCCACGCUCCGGAUCUGGGCAGGGAGGGACCGAUAUGGGAUUGGAGAUUCGGGCCCAUGGCGUGGCGGCGCGUCCUCUCCCUGGGUUUCAAAAAUUCGAGUACUUGAAUUCUCUGCAAGCACGAUGCAUUGUGUGGAUUUUUAUCUUAGGUACACAAGUUUUUCUUCAUGGAUCCAACUACAUGAACAUAGAGGUAGAUCACGAUGACGAGCAC
Long non-coding RNA from Lolium rigidum, 237 nucleotides. RefSeq lists it as uncharacterized. The record is from RefSeq and is a predicted model, not a curated record. NCBI's taxonomy places the organism in Eukaryota, Viridiplantae, Streptophyta, Magnoliopsida, Poales, Poaceae. The transcript has 4 exons.